Molecule: ribosomal RNA, 219 nt
Filed under: Escherichia coli
Lineage: Bacteria; Pseudomonadati; Pseudomonadota; Gammaproteobacteria; Enterobacterales; Enterobacteriaceae
Description: partial 23S ribosomal RNA
Rfam family: Bacterial large subunit ribosomal RNA
Source: RNAcentral
GUGUUCGGGUUGUCAUGCCAAUGGCACUGCCCGGUAGCUAAAUGCGGAAGAGAUAAGUGCUGAAAGCAUCUAAGCACGAAACUUGCCCCGAGAUGAGUUCUCCCUGACCCUUUAAGGGUCCUGAAGGAACGUUGAAGACGACGACGUUGAUAGGCCGGGUGUGUAAGCGCAGCGAUGCGUUGAGCUAACCGGUACUAAUGAACCGUGAGGCUUAACCUU